AGAGUUUGAUCAUGGCUCAGAUUGAACGCUGGCGGCAGGCCUAACACAUGCAAGUCGAACGGUAACAGGAAGCAGCUUGCUGCUUUGCUGACGAGUGGCGGACGGGUGAGUAAUGUCUGGGAAACUGCCUGAUGGAGGGGGAUAACUACUGGAAACGGUAGCUAAUACCGCAUAACGUCGCAAGACCAAAGAGGGGGACCUUCGGGCCUCUUGCCAUCGGAUGUGCCCAGAUGGGAUUAGCUAGUAGGUGGGGUAACGGCUCACCUAGGCGACGAUCCCUAGCUGGUCUGAGAGGAUGACCAGCCACACUGGAACUGAGACACGGUCCAGACUCCUACGGGAGGCAGCAGUGGGGAAUAUUGCACAAUGGGCGCAAGCCUGAUGCAGCCAUGCCGCGUGUAUGAAGAAGGCCUUCGGGUUGUAAAGUACUUUCAGCGGGGAGGAAGGGAGUAAAGUUAAUACCUUUGCUCAUUGACGUUACCCGCAGAAGAAGCACCGGCUAACUCCGUGCCAGCAGCCGCGGUAAUACGGAGGGUGCAAGCGUUAAUCGGAAUUACUGGGCGUAAAGCGCACGCAGGCGGUUUGUUAAGUCAGAUGUGAAAUCCCCGGGCUCAACCUGGGAACUGCAUCUGAUACUGGCAAGCUUGAGUCUCGUAGAGGGGGGUAGAAUUCCAGGUGUAGCGGUGAAAUGCGUAGAGAUCUGGAGGAAUACCGGUGGCGAAGGCGGCCCCCUGGACGAAGACUGACGCUCAGGUGCGAAAGCGUGGGGAGCAAACAGGAUUAGAUACCCUGGUAGUCCACGCCGUAAACGAUGUCGACUUGGAGGUUGUGCCCUUGAGGCGUGGCUUCCGGAGCUAACGCGUUAAGUCGACCGCCUGGGGAGUACGGACGCAAGGUUAAAACUCAAAUGAAUUGACGGGGGCCCGCACAAGCGGUGGAGCAUGUGGUUUAAUUCGAUGCAACGCGAAGAACCUUACCUGGUCUUGACAUCCACGGAAGUUUUCAGAGAUGAGAAUGUGCCUUCGGGAACCGUGAGACAGGUGCUGCAUGGCUGUCGUCAGCUCGUGUUGUGAAAUGUUGGGUUAAGUCCCGCAACGAGCGCAACCCUUAUCCUUUGUUGCCAGCGGUCCGGCCGGGAACUCAAAGGAGACUGCCAGUGAUAAACUGGAGGAAGGUGGGGAUGACGUCAAGUCAUCAUGGCCCUUACGACCAGGGCUACACACGUGCUACAAUGGCGCAUACAAAGAGAAGCGACCUCGCGAGAGCAAGCGGACCUCAUAAAGUGCGUCGUAGUCCGGAUUGGAGUCUGCAACUCGACUCCAUGAAGUCGGAAUCGCUAGUAAUCGUGGAUCAGAAUGCCACGGUGAAUACGUUCCCGGGCCUUGUACACACCGCCCGUCACACCAUGGGAGUGGGUUGCAAAAGAAGUAGGUAGCUUAACCUUCGGGAGGGCGCUUACCACUUUGUGAUUCAUGACUGGGGUGAAGUCGUAACAAGGUAACCGUAGGGGAACCUGCGGUUGGAUCACCU
Molecule: ribosomal RNA, 1530 nt
Filed under: Escherichia coli HVH 21 (4-4517873)
Lineage: Bacteria; Pseudomonadati; Pseudomonadota; Gammaproteobacteria; Enterobacterales; Enterobacteriaceae
Description: bacterial SSU rRNA
Rfam family: Bacterial small subunit ribosomal RNA
Source: RNAcentral